RNAcentral lists this ribosomal RNA (2897 nucleotides) under Clostridioides difficile. RNAcentral describes it as "bacterial LSU rRNA". It matches the Rfam family "Bacterial large subunit ribosomal RNA". The record is from RNAcentral. Lineage: Bacteria; Bacillati; Bacillota; Clostridia; Peptostreptococcales; Peptostreptococcaceae.
UCAAGUUAUUAAGGGUGCAGGGCGGAUGCCUUGGCACUAGGAGCCGAUGAAGGACGUGAUAAGCUGCGAUAAGCUUCGGGGAGUUGCACGUAAACUUUGAUCCGAAGAUUUCCGAAUGAGGAAACUUCACUUAGAGUAAUGUCUAAGUAUCAUUAAGUGAAUACAUAGCUUAAUGAGGGGAACUCAGGGAACUGAAACAUCUAAGUACCUGAAGGAAGAGAAAGAAAUUCGAUUCCGUAAGUAGCGGCGAGCGAACGCGGAUUAGCCCAAACCAAUAAAGUUUUCUUUAUUGGGGUUGCGGACAUAUCAUAACGAAGAGGUAUCGUAAUUGAAGAGGUUUGGAAAGACCCACCACAGAAGGUAAUAGUCCUGUAUGUUAAACGAGAAGACUUUAGAUAUGAUCCAGAGUACCACGGGACACGUGAAACCCUGUGGGAAGCAGGAGGGACCACCCUCCAAGGCUAAAUACUACCUAGUGACCGAUAGCGUAUAGUACCGUGAGGGAAAGGUGAAAAGAACCCCGGGAGGGGAGUGAAAUAGAACCUGAAACCCUGCACUUACAAGCUGUGGAAGCACAUUUCUUGUGUGACCGCGUACUUUUUGUAGAACGGGCCAACGAGUUACGUUAAGUAGCAAGGUUAAGCACUUAAGGUGUGGAGCCGUAGCGAAAGCGAGUUUUAACUGAGCGUUCAGUUACUUGACGUAGACCCGAAACCGGGCGACCUACCCAUGAGCAGGAUGAAGCGAAAGUAAAAUUUCGUGGAGGUCCGAACCCACGAGCGUUGAAAAGCUCGGGGAUGACUUGUGGGUAGCGGUGAAAUUCCAAUCGAGCCCGGAGAUAGCUGGUUCUCCCCGAAAUAGCUUUAGGGCUAGCCUCAAGGUGAGAGAUACGGAGGUAGAGCACUGAAUGUCCUAGGGGGUAUUGCACCUACCGAAGACUAUCAAACUCCGAAUGCCGUCAUCUUAUACUUGGGAGUCAGACUGUGGGUGAUAAGAUUCAUAGUCGAAAGGGCAACAGCCCAGAUCGUCAGCUAAGGUCCCUAAAUGUAAGUUAAGUGGUAAAGGAUGUGGGAUUGCACAGACAACCAGGAUGUUGGCUUAGAAGCAGCCACUCAUUCAAAGAGUGCGUAAUAGCUCACUGGUCGAGUGAUCCUGCGCCGAAGAUUUCCGGGGCUAAAACUUACUACCGAAGCUACGGCAUCAGUAAUGAUGGGUAGGGGAGCUUCCCAUACGGGUUGAAGCAUGACCGUAAGGACAUGUGGACAGUAUGGGAGUGAGAAUGUUGGCAUGAGUAGCGAGAUGUGGGUGAGAAUCCCACAGGCCGUAAACCCAAGGUUUCCAGGGGAAGGUUCGUCCGCCCUGGGUUAGUCGGGACCUAAGCUGAGGCCGAAAGGCGUAGGUGAUGGACAACAGGUUGAUAUUCCUGUACUACCGAUAACCGUUUGAGAGAAGGGAUGACACAGUAGGAUAAGCUAAGCACACUGUUGGUUAUGUGUGCCCAAGCAUUGAGGCAGUCAAAGUAGGCAAAUCCGCUUUGAUAAUGCUGGGAUGUGAUGGGGAGCGAAAUUUAGUAGCGAAGUAGCUGAUUUCACACUGUCAAGAAAAGUCUCUAUCGAGGUUAAAGGUACCCGUACCGCAAACCGACACAGGUGGGUGAGGAGAGUAUCCUAAGGCCAGCGAGAGAACUGUUGUUAAGGAACUCGGCAAAAUGACCCCGUAACUUAGGGAUAAGGGGUGCCACCAUCAGGUGGCCGCAGAGAAUAGGCCCAAGCGACUGUUUACCAAAAACAUAGGUUUCUGCUAAGUCGCAAGACGAUGUAUAGGAGCUGACGCCUGCCCGGUGCUGGAAGGUUAAGGGGAUCUGUUAGAGCAAUCGAAGCAGUGAACUUAAGCCCCAGUAAACGGCGGCCGUAACUAUAACGGUCCUAAGGUAGCGAAAUUCCUUGUCGGGUAAGUUCCGACCCGCACGAAAGGCGUAACGAUUUGGGCACUGUCUCAACAACAGACUCGGUGAAAUUGUAAUUCCGGUGAAGAUGCCGGAUACCUGCGACAGGACGGAAAGACCCCAUGGAGCUUUACUGUAGCUUGACAUUGGGUCUUGGUACUACAUGUACAGGAUAGGUGGGAGGCUUUGAAACCAGGACGCCAGUUUUGGCGGAGCCAUCCUUGGGAUACCACCCUUGUAGUACUGGGACUCUAACCAUAGGCCAUGAAUCUGGUCUUGGGACACUGUCAGGUGGGCAGUUUGACUGGGGCGGUCGCCUCCCAAAAGGUAACGGAGGCGCUCAAAGGUUCUCUCAGUACGGUCGGAAAUCGUACGUAGAGUGUAAAGGCAAAAGAGAGCUUGAUUGCAAGACAUACAGGUCGAGCAAGGAUGAAAAUCGGACUUAGUGAUCCGGUGGUUCUGCGUGGAAGGGCCAUCGCUCAACGGAUAAAAGCUACCCUGGGGAUAACAGGCUUAUCUCCCCCAAGAGUCCACAUCGACGGGGAGGUUUGGCACCUCGAUGUCGGCUCAUCACAUCCUGGGGCUGUAGUAGGUCCCAAGGGUUGGGCUGUUCGCCCAUUAAAGUGGUACGCGAGCUGGGUUCAGAACGUCGUGAGACAGUUCGGUCCCUAUCCGUCGCAGGCGUAGGAAAUUUGAGAAGACCUGUCCUUAGUACGAGAGGACCGGGAUGGACGUACCUCUGGUGUACCAGUUGUCCUGCCAAGGGCAUGGCUGGGUAGCUAUGUACGGAAUGGAUAAGCGCUGAAAGCAUCUAAGCGCGAAGCCAACUUCAAGAUAAGAUUUCCCACCGCAAGGGUAAGACCCCAGAAAGACUAUCUGGUUGAUAGGUCGAAGGUGUAAGUGCAGCAAUGUAUUUAGCUUAUCGAUACUAAUAGGUCGAGGACUUGACCAA